This 71-nucleotide transfer RNA is filed under the name Loxodonta africana (African savanna elephant). It matches the Rfam family "tRNA". From Rfam's summary of the family: Transfer RNA (tRNA) molecules are approximately 80 nucleotides in length. Lineage: Eukaryota; Metazoa; Chordata; Mammalia; Proboscidea; Elephantidae. The record is from Rfam by way of RNAcentral.
GCAUUGGUGGUUCAGUGGUAGGCCUCUCACCUUCCGUGCAGGGGACCUGGGUUUGAUUCCUGGCCAAUGCA